AGGGAGAAGAGGCUGCUGACCCAGGAGAAGCUGAGGAGGAACAUUAGGGUUGGAGUUGGGGAAAGGAAAUUGUAUUUUAGAAGUGGGCAUGAGAUUGGGCUGGCACCUGAACCUAGGACUUGGAGGUUCUGGUUAAUCUGAACAGUGAUGACUUCAAAGUGGUUAGAGAAGGGUAUGGUUUCCGAGACCCCUGAACUGAUCCUGUUCUGGGAAGAAAAUGAAGAGGACCCAGAAGAGGAUUUGUCAGAAACAGAGACUCCAAAGCUCAAGAAGAAGAAAAAGCCUAAGAAACCUCGGGACCCUAAAAUCCCUAAGAGCAAGCGCCAAAAAAAGGAGCUGGGGGACAGCUCUGGGGAGGGGCCAGAGUUUGUGGAGGAGGAGGAAGAGGUGGCUCUGCGCUCAGACAGUGAGGGCAGCGACUAUACCCCUGGCAAGAAGAAGAAGAAGAAGCUUGGACCUAAGAAAGAGAAGAAGAGCAAAUCCAAGCGGAAGGAGGAGGAGGAGGAGGAUGACGAUGAUGAUGAUUC
This 527-nucleotide small RNA is filed under the name Pongo abelii (Sumatran orangutan). Its description in RNAcentral is "retained intron". Lineage: Eukaryota; Metazoa; Chordata; Mammalia; Primates; Hominidae. The record is from RNAcentral.